GAUCUAAGCUAAAACCUCCAUCA
Molecule: non-coding RNA, 23 nt
Filed under: Arabidopsis thaliana (thale cress)
Lineage: Eukaryota; Viridiplantae; Streptophyta; Magnoliopsida; Brassicales; Brassicaceae
Source: RNAcentral